GCAAUAUGAGGAGACUUAAUACCUUCAAUAACGGUUGAUCUAGCUGCAACAAAAGCACCAGAGCUAUCUCUGAAAAUAGCACCAAAACCACAUUUAAGCUCAGGAGCAAAGAUAGCUGCAUCAGAGUUGCAUUUCAAAUAACCAACUGUGGCUUAACCCAAUGAGAAGAAGUAACUUGGUGAUGAUUAGAAAGAUGACAAUCUAGAGAAAAAACUUUUGCAGCAUCCCAAUCUGAUAAGAAACCCAAAACUUCCCAAACAACAUCCUAAGAAGAACGGAUUUUGUCUUGCCAAAUAAGAAGAUUUUGAGCAGCCCAGACCGUCCACAACACCAUGCAACUACGGAGACAAAGAGAGUGAUCUUGCUGUUGCAUAAAAGAAUCA
Molecule: unclassified non-coding RNA, 383 nt
Filed under: Hevea brasiliensis (rubber tree)
Lineage: Eukaryota; Viridiplantae; Streptophyta; Magnoliopsida; Malpighiales; Euphorbiaceae
Source: RNAcentral